This 500-nucleotide ribosomal RNA is filed under the name uncultured bacterium. RNAcentral describes it as "partial 16S ribosomal RNA". It matches the Rfam family "Bacterial small subunit ribosomal RNA", at positions 29 to 523 of the family's 1533-position model. The record is from RNAcentral.
AUUGAACGCUGGCGGCAUGCCUUACACAUGCAAGUCGAACGGCAGCACGGGAGCAAUCCUGGUGGCGAGUGGCGAACGGGUGAGUAAUGUAUCGGAACGUGCCCAGUCGUUGGGGAUAACGUAGCGAAAGCUACGCAAAUACCGCAUACGACCUGUGGAUGAAAGCGGUGGACCGGAAAGCCUCGAGCGCGCGGAGCGGCCGAUAUCGGAUUAGGUAGUUGGUGGGGUAAAGGCCUACCAAGCCGACGAUCUGUAGCUGGUCUGAGAGGACGACCAGCCACACUGGGACUGAGACACGGCCCAGACUCCUACGGGAGGCAGCAGUGGGGAAUUUUGGACAAUGGGCGCAAGCCUGAUCCAGCAAUGCCGCGUGCAGGAUGAAGGCCUUCGGGUUGUAAACUGCUUUUGUACGGAGCGAAAAGGCUCUCUCUAAUGCAGGGGGCUCAUGACGAUACCGUAAGAAUAAGCACCGGCUAACUACGUGCCAGCCGCCGCUGUAA